This 468-nucleotide ribosomal RNA is filed under the name uncultured bacterium. RNAcentral's name for it is "partial 16S ribosomal RNA". It matches the Rfam family "Bacterial small subunit ribosomal RNA", at positions 28 to 507 of the family's 1533-position model. The record is from RNAcentral.
GACGAACGCUGGCGGCGUGCUUAACACAUGCAAGUCGAACGGAAAGGCCCUGCUUUUGUGGGGUGCUCGAGUGGCGAACGGGUGAGUAACACGUGAGUAACCUGCCCUUGACUUUGGGAUAACUUCAGGAAACUGGGGCUAAUACCGGAUAGGAGCUCCUGCUGCAUGGUGGGGGUCGGAAAGUUUCGGCGUUUGGGGAUGGACUCGCGGCUUAUCAGCUUGUUGGUGGGGUAGUGGCUUACCAAGGCUUUGACGGGUAGCCGGCCUGAGAGGGUGACCGGCCACAUUGGGACUGAGAUACGGACCAGAAUCCUACGGGAGGCAGCAGGGGGGAAUAUUGCACAAUGGGCGGAAGCCUGAUGCAGCAACGCCGCGUGCGGGAUGACGGCCUUCGGGUUGUAAACCGCUUUCGCCUGUGACGAAGCGUGAGUGACGGUAAUGGGUAAAGAAGCACCGGCUAACUACGUG